This 501-nucleotide ribosomal RNA is filed under the name uncultured bacterium. RNAcentral's name for it is "partial 16S ribosomal RNA". It matches the Rfam family "Bacterial small subunit ribosomal RNA", at positions 28 to 507 of the family's 1533-position model. The record is from RNAcentral.
GGCGAACGCUGGCGGCGUGCCUAAUACAUGCAAGUCGAGCGGACCGGAUUGGGGCUUGCCUUGAUUCGGUCAGCGGCGGACGGGUGAGUAACACGUGGGCAACCUGCCCGCAAGACCGGGAUAACUCCGGGAAACCGGAGCUAAUACCGGAUAACACCGAAGACCGCAUGGUCUUCGGUUGAAAGGCGGCCUUUGGGCUGUCACUUGCGGAUGGGACCGCGGCGCAUUAGCUAGUUGGUGAGGUAACGGCUCACCAAGGCGACGAUGCGUAGCCGGCCUGAGAGGGUGACCGGCCACACUGGGACUGAGACACGGCCCAGACUCCUACGGGAGGCAGCAGUAGGGAAUCUUCCGCAAUGGGCGAAAGCCUGACGGAGCGACGCCGCGGAAGCGAAGAAGGCCUUCGGGUCGUAAAGCUCUGUUGUGAGGGACGAAGGAGCGUCGUUCGAAGAGGGCGGCGCGGUGACGGUACCUCACGAGAAAGCCCCGGCUAACUACGUG